AUUGAACGCUGGCGGCAGGCCUAACACAUGCAAGUCGAGCGGAUGAAGGGAGCUUGCUCCUGGAUUCAGCGGCGGACGGGUGAGUAAUGCCUAGGAAUCUGCCUGGUAGUGGGGGAUAACGUCCGGAAACGGGCGCUAAUACCGCAUACGUCCUGAGGGAGAAAGUGGGGGAUCUUCGGACCUCACGCUAUCAGAUGAGCCUAGGUCGGAUUAGCUAGUUGGUGGGGUAAAGGCCUACCAAGGCGACGAUCCGUAACUGGUCUGAGAGGAUGAUCAGUCACACUGGAACUGAGACACGGUCCAGACUCCUACGGGAGGCAGCAGUGGGGAAUAUUGGACAAUGGGCGAAAGCCUGAUCCAGCCAUGCCGCGUGUGUGGAGAAGGUCUUCGGAUUGUAAAGCACUUUAAGUUGGGAGGAAGGGCAGUAAGUUAGUACCUUGCUGUUUUGACGUUACCAACAGAAUAAGCACCGGCUAACUUCGUG
Molecule: ribosomal RNA, 484 nt
Filed under: uncultured bacterium
Lineage: Bacteria
Description: partial 16S ribosomal RNA
Rfam family: Bacterial small subunit ribosomal RNA
Source: RNAcentral